Molecule: ribosomal RNA, 481 nt
Filed under: uncultured bacterium
Lineage: Bacteria
Description: partial 16S ribosomal RNA
Rfam family: Bacterial small subunit ribosomal RNA
Source: RNAcentral
GAUGAACGCUGGCGGCGUGCUUAACACAUGCAAGUCGAACGAAGCACUUUAUUUUAUUUCCGUCGGGACUGAUUAUUUUGUGACUGAGUGGCGGACGUGUGAGUAACGCGUGGGUAACCUGCCUUGUACAGGGGGAUAACAGUUGGAAACGGCUGCUAAUACCGCAUAAGCGCGCGGCAUCGCAUGAUGCAGUGUGAAAAACUCCGGUGGUAUAAGAUGGACCCGCGUUGGAUUAGCUAGUUGGUGAGGUAACGGCCAACCAAGGCGACGAACCAUAGCCGAGCGGAGAGGGUGACAGGCCACAUUGGGACUGAGACACGGACCACAAUCCUACGGGAGGGAGCAGUGGGGAAUAUUGCACAAUGGGCGAAAGCGUGAUGAAGCGACGCGGCGUGAGAGAAGAAGUAUUUCGGUAUGUAAAGCUCUAUCAGCAGGGAAGAUAAUGACGGUACCUGACUAAGAAGCACCGGCUAAAUACGUG